Long non-coding RNA from Xiphophorus couchianus (Monterrey platyfish), 624 nucleotides. RefSeq lists it as uncharacterized. NCBI's taxonomy places the organism in Eukaryota, Metazoa, Chordata, Actinopteri, Cyprinodontiformes, Poeciliidae. The record is from RefSeq and is a predicted model, not a curated record. The transcript has 2 exons.
UUCAUGUUAUAAAAGCAUGCCUCAAUUUAGAAAUAUUUUGUUUCAAAAUAACUCUGUAUAGACUUCCCAGAUACAACACCAGAGGAAGCAGGUUCUCCCUGGCUGUAAGGAGCACAUGGUGUCUGUUUCCUUUGCUUUGCUUUGCUGUGCAUUGAAGACUUCAGCAAGAACUACUGAACCAACUGUUUCGGGGGCAGAGCCAAUCAAGAGAGCUGUCAAAGACGUUUUUCAUGAACCCAGCAGGAAGAUGGACAGCAGUGUCCCUGAUGGAGACUCUUCAGCCUGGCAGACAUACAGGCGGGUCCAGUCGGGUGAGCCACUUGGCACUGGUCGUGCAGCUGGCUUUCUGGUGGAACAGGAGCUGGCACCAGGAGCAGGCUGGCCUCUCCUCUGGCAGAGAUGCAAGGCAGAAACAAACACACAGACUCUGCCACACUCCUGCAGAGGAGCAAACAGAGGCUGGCAGGGAGGGCUGCUCUUCAAAAGCUGCUGUUGUCUGGAGAUGCCUUUCAUCUGAAUGAGAGCCUUAAUAGGCGUUGUGUGAUGGCUCUCGUCGCACACUGGGCACCCAGUGAACCUCUUCUGUUAGGUUUUAAUUAAAAAACAAUGUUUGAAGGCCACAAU